RNAcentral lists this ribosomal RNA (2927 nucleotides) under Salmonella enterica subsp. enterica serovar Gaminara. RNAcentral's name for it is "bacterial LSU rRNA". It matches the Rfam family "Bacterial large subunit ribosomal RNA". The record is from RNAcentral. Lineage: Bacteria; Pseudomonadati; Pseudomonadota; Gammaproteobacteria; Enterobacterales; Enterobacteriaceae.
GGGUUGUGAGGUUAAGCGACUAAGCGUACACGGUGGAUGCCCUGGCAGUCAGAGGCGAUGAAGGACGUGCUAAUCUGCGAUAAGCGCCGGUAAGGUGAUAUGAACCGUUAUAACCGGCGAUUUCCGAAUGGGGAAACCCAGUGUGACUCGUCACACUAUCAUUAACUGAAUCCAUAGGUUAAUGAGGCGAACCGGGGGAACUGAAACAUCUAAGUACCCCGAGGAAAAGAAAUCAACCGAGAUUCCCCCAGUAGCGGCGAGCGAACGGGGAGGAGCCCAGAGCCUGAAUCAGCAUGUGUGUUAGUGGAAGCGUCUGGAAAGGCGCGCGAUACAGGGUGACAGCCCCGUACACAAAAGCGCAUGUGCUGUGAGCUCGAUGAGUAGGGCGGGACACGUGGUAUCCUGUCUGAAUAUGGGGGGACCAUCCUCCAAGGCUAAAUACUCCUGACUGACCGAUAGUGAACCAGUACCGUGAGGGAAAGGCGAAAAGAACCCCGGCGAGGGGAGUGAAAAAGAACCUGAAACCGUGUACGUACAAGCAGUGGGAGCACCCUUUGGGGGUGUGACUGCGUACCUUUUGUAUAAUGGGUCAGCGACUUAUAUUCUGUAGCAAGGUUAACCGAAUAGGGGAGCCGGAGGGAAACCGAGUCUUAACCGGGCGUUAAGUUGCAGGGUAUAGACCCGAAACCCGGUGAUCUAGCCAUGGGCAGGUUGAAGGUUGGGUAACACUAACUGGAGGACCGAACCGACUAAUGUUGAAAAAUUAGCGGAUGACCUGUGGCUGGGGGUGAAAGGCCAAUCAAACCGGGAGAUAGCUGGUUCUCCCCGAAAGCUAUUUAGGUAGCGCCUCGUGAAUUCAUCUCCGGGGGUAGAGCACUGUUUCGGCUAGGGGGCCAUCCCGGCUUACCAACCCGAUGCAAACUGCGAAUACCGGAGAAUGUUAUCACGGGAGACACACGGCGGGUGCUAACGUCCGUCGUGAAGAGGGAAACAACCCAGACCGCCAGCUAAGGUCCCAAAGUCAUGGUUAAGUGGGAAACGAUGUGGGAAGGCCCAGACAGCCAGGAUGUUGGCUUAGAAGCAGCCAUCAUUUAAAGAAAGCGUAAUAGCUCACUGGUCGAGUCGGCCUGCGCGGAAGAUGUAACGGGGCUAAACCAUGCACCGAAGCUGCGGCAGCGACACUAUGUGUUGUUGGGUAGGGGAGCGUUCUGUAAGCCUGUGAAGGUGGCCUGUGAGGGUUGCUGGAGGUAUCAGAAGUGCGAAUGCUGACAUAAGUAACGAUAAAGCGGGUGAAAAGCCCGCUCGCCGGAAGACCAAGGGUUCCUGUCCAACGUUAAUCGGGGCAGGGUGAGUCGACCCCUAAGGCGAGGCCGAAAGGCGUAGUCGAUGGGAAACGGGUUAAUAUUCCCGUACUUGGUGUUACUGCGAAGGGGGGACGGAGAAGGCUAUGUUGGCCGGGCGACGGUUGUCCCGGUUUAAGCGUGUAGGUGUGUGUUCCAGGUAAAUCCGGUUCACUUUAACACUGAGGCGUGAUGACGAGGCACUACGGUGCUGAAGCAACAAAUGCCCUGCUUCCAGGAAAAGCCUCUAAGCAUCAGGUAACAUCAAAUCGUACCCCAAACCGACACAGGUGGUCAGGUAGAGAAUACCAAGGCGCUUGAGAGAACUCGGGUGAAGGAACUAGGCAAAAUGGUGCCGUAACUUCGGGAGAAGGCACGCUGACAUGUAGGUGAAGUGAUUUACUCAUGGAGCUGAAGUCAGUCGAAGAUACCAGCUGGCUGCAACUGUUUAUUAAAAACACAGCACUGUGCAAACACGAAAGUGGACGUAUACGGUGUGACGCCUGCCCGGUGCCGGAAGGUUAAUUGAUGGGGUCAGCGCAAGCGAAGCUCCUGAUCGAAGCCCCGGUAAACGGCGGCCGUAACUAUAACGGUCCUAAGGUAGCGAAAUUCCUUGUCGGGUAAGUUCCGACCUGCACGAAUGGCGUAAUGAUGGCCAGGCUGUCUCCACCCGAGACUCAGUGAAAUUGAACUCGCUGUGAAGAUGCAGUGUACCCGCGGCAAGACGGAAAGACCCCGUGAACCUUUACUAUAGCUUGACACUGAACAUUGAGCCUUGAUGUGUAGGAUAGGUGGGAGGCUUUGAAGUGUGGACGCCAGUCUGCAUGGAGCCGACCUUGAAAUACCACCCUUUAAUGUUUGAUGUUCUAACGUGGACCCGUGAUCCGGGUUGCGGACAGUGUCUGGUGGGUAGUUUGACUGGGGCGGUCUCCUCCUAAAGAGUAACGGAGGAGCACGAAGGUUGGCUAAUCCUGGUCGGACAUCAGGAGGUUAGUGCAAUGGCAUAAGCCAGCUUGACUGCGAGCGUGACGGCGCGAGCAGGUGCGAAAGCAGGUCAUAGUGAUCCGGUGGUUCUGAAUGGAAGGGCCAUCGCUCAACGGAUAAAAGGUACUCCGGGGAUAACAGGCUGAUACCGCCCAAGAGUUCAUAUCGACGGCGGUGUUUGGCACCUCGAUGUCGGCUCAUCACAUCCUGGGGCUGAAGUAGGUCCCAAGGGUAUGGCUGUUCGCCAUUUAAAGUGGUACGCGAGCUGGGUUUAGAACGUCGUGAGACAGUUCGGUCCCUAUCUGCCGUGGGCGCUGGAGAACUGAGGGGGGCUGCUCCUAGUACGAGAGGACCGGAGUGGACGCAUCACUGGUGUUCGGGUUGUCAUGCCAAUGGCACUGCCCGGUAGCUAAAUGCGGAAGAGAUAAGUGCUGAAAGCAUCUAAGCACGAAACUUGCCCCGAGAUGAGUUCUCCCUGAGACUUAGAGUCUCCUGAAGGAACGUUGAAGACGACGACGUUGAUAGGCCGGGUGUGUAAGCGCAGCGAUGCGUUGAGCUAACCGGUACUAAUGAACCGUGAGGCUUAACCUUACAACGCCGAAG